This 531-nucleotide ribosomal RNA is filed under the name uncultured bacterium. RNAcentral describes it as "partial 16S ribosomal RNA". It matches the Rfam family "Bacterial small subunit ribosomal RNA", at positions 28 to 523 of the family's 1533-position model. The record is from RNAcentral.
GACGAACGCUGGCGGCGUGCCUAAUACAUGCAAGUCGAACGCACUGACGUCGACAGAAGGUGCUUGCACUGGAAGUUGAUUGACGUGAGUGGCGGACGGGUGAGUAACACGUGAGUAACCUGCCCUUAAGCGGGGGAUAACAUUUGGAAGCAGAUGCUAAUACCGCAUAAAAGUUGAGAUCACAUGGUCUUAAUUUGAAAGACGGCCUUUGGCUGUCACUUAAGGAUGGACCCGCGGCGUAUUAGCUAGUUGGUGGGAUAAUCGCCGACCAACGCGAUGAUACGUAGACGACCUGAGAGUGGAAUCGGCCACAUUGGGACUGAGACACGGCCCAAACGCCUACGGGAGGCAGCAGUAGGGAAUCUUCCACAAUGGACGAAAGUCUGAUGGAGCAACGCCGCGUGAGUGAAGAAGGUUUUCGGAUCGUAAAACUCUGUUGUUGGAGAAGAACAGGGACUAGAGUAACUGUUAGUCCUUUGACGGUAUCCAACCAGAAAGCCACGGCUAACUACGUGCCAGCCGCCGCGGUAA